RNAcentral lists this ribosomal RNA (755 nucleotides) under uncultured Mycoplasma sp. RNAcentral's name for it is "bacterial SSU rRNA". It matches the Rfam family "Bacterial small subunit ribosomal RNA", at positions 28 to 776 of the family's 1533-position model. Lineage: Bacteria; Bacillati; Mycoplasmatota; Mollicutes; Mycoplasmatales; Mycoplasmataceae. The record is from RNAcentral.
GAUGAACGCUCGCUGUGUGCCUAAUACAUGCAUGUUGAACGGGAUGUAGCAAUACAUUCAGUAGCGAAUGGGUGAGUAACACGUACCUAACCUACCUUUAAGACUGGGAUAACUAUUGGAAACAAUAGCUAAUACCGGAUAUAGUUAUUUAUCGCAUGAUGAGUAAUAGAAAGGAGCUUCACAGCUUCACUUAAAAAUGGGGGUGCGGAACAUUAGUUAGUUGGUAGGGUAAUGGCCUACCAAGACGAUGAUGUUUAGCCGGGCCGAGAGGCUGUACGGCCACACUGGGACUGAGAUACGGCCCAGACUCCUACGGGAGGCAGCAGUAAGGGAUUUUCCACAAUGAGCGAAAGCUUGAUGGAGCGACACAGCGUGCAGGAUGAAGUUCUUCGGAAUGUAAACUGCUGUUAUAAGGGAAGAAAAAAUAGAAUAGGAAAUGAUUUUAUCUUGACGGUACCUUAUUAGAAAGCGACGGCAAACUAUGUGCCAGCAGCUGCGGUAAUACAUAGGUCGCAAGCGUUAUCCGGAAUUAUUGGGCGUAAAGCGUCCGUAGGUUUUUUGCUAAGUCUGGAGUUAAAUGCUGAAGCUCAACUUCAGUCCGCUUUGGAUACUGGCAAAAUAGAAUUAUAAAGAGGUUAGCGGAAUUCCUAGUGAAGCGGUGGAAUGCGUAGAUAUUAGGAAGAACACCAAUAGGCGAAGGCAGCUAACUGGUUAUAUAUUGACACUAAGGGACGAAAGCGUGGGGAGCAAACAGG